Long non-coding RNA from Brassica napus (rape), 4286 nucleotides. RefSeq lists it as uncharacterized. The record is from RefSeq and is a predicted model, not a curated record. The transcript is spliced from 3 exons. Lineage: Eukaryota; Viridiplantae; Streptophyta; Magnoliopsida; Brassicales; Brassicaceae.
UAAUCAAUUUAAUAGUUAGUCUAAUAAAAAAUAUAAUAUAUAUUUAUAUGGACCAACUUAUUUUUCUAAAGAUUCUAAGAAUCAUCCUAGUGAUACACAUGUCUACGAAAACAUAUUGUAAUGCUCCAUGAUAUUAAUAUACCGAGGAUAUGGAUAAUACUUUAAACAAAGACCCUAAUUAUUAUAGCAAAAUACUAAAAUCUAUUGACUAUAAAUAAUUAAUAUCAUGCAGGACAUGUGGCAUGUGGGUAAACGGAGACUACUUAUUUGUUAAACUAAAGAGAGUUCAAUUCUUCUUUUGAAAAUCUUUGAAUGCCAAUCAAUGGCGAUCUCUCACGUUCAUCCAAUGUUCAUCGGCAUGUUAAAGUGAUUGAGAAACUUGACCUUUCCUCCUGCAACUUGAUUCUUAUGUUAACCAUUUGUUUCUCGUCAUGUACACUAACGUUAGAAACAAACUUCCUUGAAUCAUUUGCAAUAGGUCCAUGAAUCAUACAUGCUUCAACCAGAAGAAAUUCCUGAUUCAUACCUGCAAAAUAAUCCCAACCAACAAUUUGUUAGUUUUAAAUUCAAACCUGAGAUUGUACUUAUGGUCAAUUUUUAAAAAAUUAAAGCAUCAUGUUGAUCCACUAGAACUUGCCACCUAACUCCACCUCGCUAGAAUGACUUUCGAAACAAUUAUAUUUGCUUAACCUUGUCGAAAAUCCUUCUGCAUCAGAAUUGCUGUGAACUCCUAUUUGUACCACCAUUACAACCAAUAGAACCAAUCGUCCAACUGUUAACCUUGCUAGACUGAUUCUGGAUACAACUCUAGCUCAAGCAGUUCGGCCAAAAGUCAUCUACUCUAGAGCCCUGAUAUCUCUUCUCUGCUAUGCCAUCCCCUAACACCUUUACCUGUAGGCGGAUCACACCAGACUUGGUGUUCGCAUCACGUUUUGUCUCAGACCCAAUCAGUACCUCAUUCUGAUUUAUUAGCAUUCUUCAAUCAAGCUGUGAAUGCUGAUACAACUCACGUAAGUAGCAAUUCUCUGCUAUACCGAGAUAAAUAUUUCAUUUGCUUCUUUGUGAUGCUCCAAAGACACAGGUAAACCCUACUUGUUCUUUACCCCAGUGCAGUUUGACGCUUCUGCAUUUCCAUUCAGUUAUGAAUGUACUUCACUUGCUUAACUUCUCUGAUAUGAUCAGUACUUCUUUAACCUCUAGUCAAACCAUUUAAUUCCUUUUGCAUAGAUGCUCUUGAGACUAUCCUUGUAGACCUUGCAUCCAAUCUCCUUCAGUUUCCCUUUCAAGAGAACAUUGAACCAUCCAUUUGUCCUUAUCUCAUAUAUACUUACACCACCAUCUCAUUAGCAUUUGAGAUAUCUGCAGCUCUCCAUUAGAUGUCCUCACUAUCAUCAAUCACCCCAUCAGACCUUAGCAGCCUCCACUUUUACCUUCUACAGAAAUAACCAACAUGUGACUGAUCUUGUUUACAUAUUUUCCUGACCUUGGAUCCAUAUUUUCCUCUCACAUUUAUCACCAUGAAUUCAUCCGAAACCAGUGACUCAUUCCUCUAUUAACUCUUUUCCUCCGUGAGCUAAUAAUCUUUGAUUCCAUAAACGUAUGAGUUCAGUACCCCACAUUAAACCAAACUUAUCAUAAGUUUAUUUGUGCUUCUUUUAUCUGCAGAGACUCCACCUGAAGCUUGAAUCAUUAAAACUUCCAUAUUUUUCUCACACUUAGCCCCACCUUGAGAGACAAUCAUCACUGUCUCAUUUUACAAUCAUGGCAUGUUGCUAUAUUAGGUGUCCUAGACCUCACGACACAUUCCUUAUUAUUUCAGCCACUGCAACAAUUCCCUUAUAUAAGAGAAGAUCCACCAAAACGCUUCCCUUUGCUUUCUUGUGCUACUCGGUUGAACCGGCUUUGAUUGCUACGACAUUCCCCUUUGAAUGUAUGCACCAUUUUUCCUUCACAUCAUGCUAUAUAUUGAGUUUCCAUAUUUGAUCAACCUGUAAGCGUUUUUGUCUUGUCUCAUACUAACACAAUGUGUGAUGCUGGUAAUCCUGGAGACCCUGCAGAAGCUAGUACAUUUCUGACCCGCACUGCUCCACCAAUCUCUGGUGUACAUGCAAGUUUGCCUUUCUCAGACUUUACUGAAGUUCGAGGGCUAUUCUAUGGCGAUCUCUCUCUUUCAUCCUAUGCUACUUUUGAUCCUAUCACUUUUCUUCUUGCCUACUUUGUUGGCCAUCCCUUUCGACGACUGCGGUUUGCUCCUUAUAACAUUUUUCUGUAUCUUGUUACGUUAUCUACAAAAUAAUAUUAGGAGUUGAAAGCUUUAAACAACUUUUUAACACUCUCGUUUUGACCUGGUUCAUGGAAACUAAGUCAAUAGGAUUGUACAGUACAAAAAUAAUUGGUUUGUUUGGGAAUUCGAGGUUUAUAGGAUUGGCCCCAUAAUUAAGGCAAACAACUGAAUCUGGAUCUAUCACAGUCUCUCCUGUUAUAUUUGACUCAAUAUAUCUCAUAUACUAAGACCAUGAUUUUCGCAGGGAUCUUUGAAGUUUUUUUCUUUUUCUCAAAAAAUAAAAUAAAAAAAUAAACCAAUCGCGGGUCGCCAUGAGUCGGUAGAGCCCGCAAAUAGUGCCAAAACCUCCCAAUUACCGAUCCUUAUUUGGUGAUUUUAGAGAGUGGUUUUUAAAUUUUUGUGGGACCCACGCGUCAGUGGGGUCCACAUUUUGUCAAAAAACCUCCCUAAGGACCUUGAGUUCAUGCUCUAAUGUAUUCCGUGCGUCCUUUUUGUUUAUUAUGAAUCUUGUAGCGUCCUUUUUGUUUAUUAUGAAUCUUGCACUCUUCACUGGCAUUAAUCACUGACUGUUGUAGGCUUUAAAAGUUAUCCAAUCAAAGUCACUGGUGUGGAGCUAUUUAAGGAGCAGCACAAAGCAAGCUUUAACAUAACCGUUUCUACAAAUAAAGUAAUCACUGGAGGAAUCGUGCAUUUGCAAGUCCAAUAUGGCUACAAGACUAUCAUGGACCACACAUACAACCUCAGUGAACUGAUCACUUGUCCUUUUUCACCUGGUGCUGUUGUGCUUUCUUUUCGCAAACAAUUUCCUUACGCAAAAGAAUUGAUGACGCCCAUGAUUUACUUAAACCUUAUUGAGGAGCCUCAGGAAGAGGAAAUUAUGUGUCUCGUCUUCUGCUAUGAUACUUCAAGUAGCGGUGUGGUUUUUGCUUAGGCAAGUUCGGGGGAAAAAAUAUGUUCUCAAUUCUCUACAUGAAUCUGAAUUCUUACUACUAGCUAGUACAAAACCAGCAUUCUCUAUGUUGUUAUCCAAGAAAUAAGAAAGGGUGUAUAUACCCUUAACUGAUUUUCAAAAUUUUCAACUUUGGUCUAGUUUAAUUUCGAUGAACAUUAUUAAAUCCUGAAGUAAUCUAACACAAGAGCAUCUUGUUUCCUGAUGCUACCCCAAAGUUCUCUGUCUUCUUUUGGAUAAUGAUGCACAAUCGUCUUGCAACGGGUGAUCGCGUUUAGAAGUGGAAUGCACAGUCAGACACAAAUUGUAUCCUCUGUACGGCUCCAAUGUCGAGGGAGGAUCUUUUCUUUAGCUGCCCUUUCUCGGAGGAGAUUUGGCAGAAUCUCUCAAAGAAUCUUCUUGGAGCAAAGUACUCAAGUUGCUGGGUUGGUUGCUCUUCUUCAAGGGAUUAGAGACAAGGACACAUAUGUUUUUACUUAGAUAUGCGUUUCAUACGCGCAGACAUGGAGAAGUUCAUCAGAAAGCAGCAAGUAAAACACGUUUCGUAAACAAGCUUGUUCGUUACAGUAUCUCUUUUCUCACUCGAGGAAGAAGAAGAAGACGUUUUGAUCAUGCUAUGACUUAGCUAUCUCUUGAGCAAAAUUGCUUAUUCCAGUUAUUCAAUCUAUUUUCUGCAUUCACCUUAAAAGCAAUGCCACACAUGUUGUAAAAAAGCAAUGCCAUACAUAAACUCUCAAUCAUAAUCAUAAAAAUGAAACCUUAAAUGCCGUGAGAAGAGGGAGCAACCGAGGUCCACAUGAAAGAGAGAGAGAGAGAGAGAGAUUUAAAGAAGCGUACUUGCAAAUAGCCGUAUCCAUCUUGUUAAUAAGCGUCAUGUGACGAUAAUAAUAGGAAAAAUCAUAUUGACAAGGACUAGGCCUGAAGACAAUACCAAAUCAAUCACUACCGUAGCGAGCAUCACCUGUACGCAUCAUUUCGACGGUGCAGCAGGCAAAGCCAAAGGACAGAUCAAUCUCCUAUAUAUGGUUCAAGUGAAAAAUCGAUAGGUACCCG